This 243-nucleotide ribosomal RNA is filed under the name Triticum aestivum (bread wheat). RNAcentral's name for it is "partial small subunit ribosomal RNA". Lineage: Eukaryota; Viridiplantae; Streptophyta; Magnoliopsida; Poales; Poaceae. The record is from RNAcentral.
AUGAAAAUGAUUUGUUGGAACUGCUGAGGUCCAGGUCAGCCUCGAACAGUCCAAGAACUUGUGUGCCUUUCAAAGACACAUUGUCCCAACUUUAUCUUUCUUUAUGGAACAAGGCAAAAUAAAGAGUAUGUUGAGAGUUUGCGUGAUCAUUUGGGUAUGAAAAAUACUUUUACUGUUUCUGUGCCAGGCAAAGCAGGUGGAUUAGCUAUCUUUUGGGAUGACCUAUAUACAAUUUGGAGCUGA